UUGAAAACAUUAAAUGAAAUUUUAAAACAAGAUAUGUUUUUGAAGAAAGUUUAUUAGAAUAUUCAAGAAAACAUAAAAGAUCAAUGACUAAACACUAGUACUCUAGUACUAUCAUCAAUAAUAUUGUAAAUGACCAUCUAUGAAGAGGAAGCAUGUGGACAACACAGGACAGAUUGGAUGGAUCAAACACGAGUAAAUCUGAAUCAUCUACAAGGAGGGAGUAUGUGGACAACACAGGAGAGAUUUGAUGGAUCAAUCAUGAGUAAACGUUGACCAUCUAUUAGGGAGUAUGUGGACAAUACUAGAGAGAUUGGAUGAAUCAAACACGAGUAAACGUGGGCCAUUUAUGAGGAUGGAGUAUAUGGAUGUGGAGCAUCUUUGGAGUUGUUAAUUAGUAUUAUCUCAACUGAAGGUCCCACACUUUGGUUCAGUCACCAUAAAUUAAUACUUUAGAAUUAUAUAACUAACUACAUGCAAAUUACCGAAGUUGAGACUGUGAUUAAUUUAAAUUGAAAAUAAGUAUAUAAAGAAUAUAACUUUUUA
Molecule: long non-coding RNA, 543 nt
Organism: Nicrophorus vespilloides
Lineage: Eukaryota; Metazoa; Arthropoda; Insecta; Coleoptera; Silphidae
Exons: 4
Source: RefSeq, a predicted model, not a curated record